AUACUCAGGUUUCUCUUCAGACCGCACAGAUCUUUCGCCUUUUACUAAACAUUUCCGUGGAGAGGAAUAAUUUGAGUUUCAACCAAUUUUUUGAUGCUCUGCCGUAAGAUGGGGU
Gadus morhua (Atlantic cod) is the source of this 115-nucleotide small nuclear RNA. Its record names the gene U5. It matches the Rfam family "U5 spliceosomal RNA". From Rfam's summary of the family: U5 RNA is a component of both types of known spliceosome. The precise function of this molecule is unknown, though it is known that the 5' loop is required for splice site selection and p220 binding, and that both the 3' stem-loop and the Sm site are important for Sm protein binding and cap methylation. Lineage: Eukaryota; Metazoa; Chordata; Actinopteri; Gadiformes; Gadidae. The record is from Ensembl.